CCAGCACCUGCAGAAAUCCACAAAGCGAGCUCCUAUUCUCUCUCUCUCUCUCUCUCUCUCUCUCUCACACACACACACACAGAGAGAGAGAGAGAGAGAGAGAGAGAAUGAAUAGGAGCUCGCUUUGUGGAUUUCUGCAGGUGCUGG
Molecule: microRNA precursor, 147 nt
Filed under: Podarcis lilfordi (Lilford's wall lizard)
Lineage: Eukaryota; Metazoa; Chordata; Lepidosauria; Squamata; Lacertidae
Source: RNAcentral